Molecule: ribosomal RNA, 1465 nt
Filed under: uncultured Bordetella sp.
Lineage: Bacteria; Pseudomonadati; Pseudomonadota; Betaproteobacteria; Burkholderiales; Alcaligenaceae
Description: partial 16S-23S ribosomal RNA intergenic spacer
Rfam family: Bacterial small subunit ribosomal RNA
Source: RNAcentral
GGUUUGAUUCUGGCUCAGAUUGAACGCUGGCGAUGCUUACACAUGCAAGUCGAACGGCAGCACGGACUUCGGUCUGGUGGCGAGUGGCGAACGGGUGAGUAAUGUAUCGGAACGUGCCUAGUAGCGGGGGAUACGCGAAAGCGUAGCUGACACGCAUACGCCCUUCGGGGAAAGCGGGGACCUUCGGGCCUCGCACUAUUAGAGCGGCCGAUAUCGGAUUAGCUAGUUGGUGGGGCAACGGCUCACCAAGGCGACGAUCCGUAGCUGGUUUGAGAGGACGACCAGCCACACUGGGACCGAGACACGGCCCAGACUCCCUACGGGAGGCAGCAGUGGGGAAUUUUGGACGGGGAAACCCUAUCCAGCCAUCUCGCGUGUGCGAUGAAGGCCUUCGGGUUGUAAAGCACUUUUGGCAGGAAGAAACGGCACGGGAUAAUACCCCGUGCAACUGACGGUACCUGCAGAAUAAGCACCGGCUAACUACGUGCCAGCAGCCGCGGUAAUACGAAGUGCAAGCGUUAAUCGGAAUUGUUGGGCGUAAAGCGUGCGCAGGCGGUUCGGAAAGAAAGAUGAAAUCCCAGAGCUUAACUUUGGAACUGCAUUUUUAACUACCGAGUCUAGAGUGUGUCAGAGGGAGGUGGAAUUCCGCGUGUAGCAGUGAAAUGCGUAGAUAUGCGGAGGAGGAACACCGAUGGCGAAGCGCAGCCUCCUGGGAUAACACUGACGUUUGCGCACGAAAGCGUGGGGAGCAAACAGGAUUGAUACUCCCGUGGUAGUCCACGCCCUAAACGAUGUCAACUAGCUGUUGGGGCCUUGGCCUGGUAGCGCAGCUAACGGUGAAGCCAACGCCUGGAGUACGGUCGCAAGAUUAAAACUCAAAGAUCUGACGGACCGCACAAGCGGUGAUGAUGUGGAUUAAUUCGAUGCAACGCGAAACCUUACCUACCCUUGACAUGUCUGGAAUCCCGAAGAGAUUUGGGAGUGCUCGGCAAGAGAACCGGAACACAGGUGCUGCAUGGCUGUCGUCAGCUCGUGUCGGUGAUGCUGGGUUAAGUCCCGCAACGAGCACAACCCCUUGUCAUUAGUUGCUACGAAAGGCACUCUAAUGAGAUCACGUGGUGACAAACCGGAGGAAGGUGGGGAUGACGUCAAGUCCUCAUGGCCCUUAUGGGUAGGGCUUCACACGUCAUACAAUGGUCGGGACAGAGGGUCGCCAACCCGCGAGGGGGGAGCCAAUCCCAGAAACCCGAUCGUAGUCCGGAUCGCGUCUGCAACCUGGGACUGCGUGAAGUCGGAAUCGCUAGUAAUCGCGGGGAUCAGUAUGUCGCGGUGAAUACGUUCCCGGGUCUUGUACACACCGCCCGUCACACCAUGGGAGUGGGUUUUACCAGAAGUAGUUAGCCUAACCGUAAGGAGGGCGAUUACCACGGUAGGAUUCAUGACUGAAGUAGUUGUAACAAGGUAG